Molecule: ribosomal RNA, 253 nt
Filed under: uncultured bacterium
Lineage: Bacteria
Description: partial 16S ribosomal RNA
Rfam family: Bacterial small subunit ribosomal RNA
Source: RNAcentral
UACGAAGGGGGCUAGCGUUGUUCGGAAUGACUGGGCGUAAAGGGCGCGUAGGCGGCGAUGUAAGUCAGGCGUGAAAGCCCCGGGCUCAACCCGGGAACGGCGCUUGAUACUGCGUUGCUUGAGGACGGGAGAGGAUGGUGGAAUUCCCAGUGUAGAGGUGAAAUUCGUAGAUAUUGGGAAGAACACCGGUGGCGAAGGCGGCCAUCUGGACCGUUUCUGACGCUGAGGCGCGAAAGCGUGGGGAGCAAACAGG